RNAcentral lists this ribosomal RNA (468 nucleotides) under uncultured bacterium. Its description in RNAcentral is "partial 16S ribosomal RNA". The stretch from base 77 to 468 matches the Rfam family "Bacterial small subunit ribosomal RNA", at positions 39 to 507 of the family's 1533-position model. The record is from RNAcentral.
GGGGGGGGGGGGGGGGGGGGGGGGGGGGGGGGGGGGGGGGGGGGGGGGCGGGCGGGUGGGGGGUGGGGGGGGGGCGGGCGUGUGAGUGACACGUGGGUCGGCUGGGCUUGACUGUGGGAGAGCUGCAGGGGACUGGGGCGCAGCGCGGGUCGGCAGUCCGGCGGGCUGGUGGUGUUGAGCAACAGUGGGCGGUUGGGGAUGGACUCGCGGCUGAUCGGUGGUGUGGUGGGGUAGUGUCGUACCAAGGCUUUGACGGGUAGCCGGCCUGAGAGGGUGACCGGCCUCAGUGGGACUGAGAUACGCCCCAGACUCCUACGGUAGGCAGCAGUGGGGAAGAUUGCACAAUGGGCGGAAGCCGGAUGCAGCAACGCCGCGUGCGGGAUGACGGCCUUCGGGUUGUAAACCGCUUUCGCCUGUGACGAAGCGUGAGUGACGGUAAUGGGUAAAGAAGCACCGGCUAACUACGUG